Molecule: ribosomal RNA, 548 nt
Filed under: uncultured Glomeromycotina
Lineage: Eukaryota; Fungi; Glomeromycota
Description: SSU rRNA
Rfam family: Eukaryotic small subunit ribosomal RNA
Source: RNAcentral
UUGGAGGGCAAGUCUGGUGCCAGCAGCCGCGGUAAUUCCAGCUCCAAUAGCGUAUACUAAAGUUGUUGCAGUUAAAAAGCUCGUAGUUGAAUUUCGGGGUCAGCAAGUUGGUCGUGCCACUGGUAUGCACUGGCUUUGCUGAUUCCUCCUUCUUGUAGAACCGUAAUGCCAUUAAGUUGGUGUUGCGGGGAAACAGGACUGUUACUUUGAAAAAAUUAGAGUGUUUAAAGCAGGCUAACGCUUGAAUACAUUAGCAUGGAAUAAUGAAAUAGGACGACGAUCCUAUUUUGUUGGUUUCUAGGGUUGACGUAAUGAUUAAUAGGGAUAGUUGGGGGCAUUAGUAUUCAAUUGUCAGAGGUGAAAUUCUUGGAUUUAUUGAAGACUAACUACUGCGAAAGCAUUUGCCAAGGAUGUUUUCAUUAAUCAAGAACGAAAGUUAGGGGAUCGAAGACGAUCAGAUACCGUCGUAGUCUUAACCAUAAACUAUGCCGACUAGGGAUCGGAUGAUGUUAAUUUUAUAAUGACUCAUUCGGCGCCUUACGGGAAAC